CACGUAGUUAGCCGGUGCUUCUUCUGCAGGUACCGUCACACCCAAAGGCUUCUUCCCUGCUGAAAGAGGUUUACAACCCGAAGGCCGUCAUCCCCCACGCGGCGUCGCUGCAUCAGGCUUCCGCCCAUUGUGCAAUAUUCCCCACUGCUGCCUCCCGUAGGAGUCUGGGCCGUGUCUCAGUCCCAGUGUGGCCGGUCGCCCUCUCAGGCCGGCUACCCGUCGUCGCCUUGGUAGGCCAUCACCCCACCAACAAGCUGAUAGGCCGCGGGCACAUCUCACACCGCACAAGGCUUUCCACUACCAGACCAUGCGGCCGGCAGUCCCAUCCAGUAUUAGACCCCGUUUCCAGGGCUUAUCCCAGAGUGCAAGGCAGAUUACCCACGUGUUACUCACCCGUUCGCCACUAAUCCACCCCCCGAAGAGGCUUCAUCGUUCGACUUGCAUGUGUUAAGCACGCCGCCAGCGUUCGUCCUCGUAGCCACGGAGUCGAAACUACUCCUCGUAGACCGUGACCC
Molecule: ribosomal RNA, 515 nt
Filed under: uncultured Actinomycetales bacterium
Lineage: Bacteria; Bacillati; Actinomycetota; Actinomycetes; Actinomycetales
Description: partial 16S ribosomal RNA
Source: RNAcentral